This 307-nucleotide ribosomal RNA is filed under the name uncultured Sphingobacteriales bacterium. Its description in RNAcentral is "bacterial SSU rRNA". It matches the Rfam family "Bacterial small subunit ribosomal RNA", at positions 1075 to 1382 of the family's 1533-position model. The record is from RNAcentral. Lineage: Bacteria; Pseudomonadati; Bacteroidota; Sphingobacteriia; Sphingobacteriales.
UCGGGUUAAGUCCCAUAACGAGCGCAACCCUUAUCGUUAGUUGCCAUCUGGUAAUGCAGGGACUCUAGCGAAACUGCCACCGUAAGGUGAGAGGAAGGUGGGAUGACGUCAAAUCAGCAGGCCCUUAUGUCCAGGGCUACACACGUGUUACAAUGGUCGGUACAGAGGGCAGCUAACCUGGUGACAGGAUGCUAAUACUCGAAAACCGGUCUCAGUUCGGAUCGAAGUCUGCAACUCGACUUCGUGAAGCUGGAUUCGCUAGUAAUCGCGCAUCAGCUAUGCGCGGUCGAAUACGUUCCCGGGCCUU